RNAcentral lists this ribosomal RNA (433 nucleotides) under uncultured bacterium. RNAcentral describes it as "partial 16S ribosomal RNA". It matches the Rfam family "Bacterial small subunit ribosomal RNA", at positions 29 to 507 of the family's 1533-position model. The record is from RNAcentral.
AACGAACGCUGGCGGCAUGCCUAACACAUGCAAGUCGAACGGGACCGUCGGGCCUAGGUGCGCACGUGUGCGUAACACGGGGGAACCUGCCCUUAGGUUCGCAGUAACUCCCCUAAAGGUGUGCUAAUAACACAUAAUCUCUUCGCACCAAAGAUUUAUCGCCUUUGGAUGGGCCCGCGUUGGAUUAGCUGGUUGGUAGUGUAAAAGCCUACCAAGGAGACGAUCCAUAGCUGGUCUGAGAGGAUGACCAGACACACUGGGACUGAGACACGGCCCAGAACCGUACGGAAGGGAGCAGAGGGGAAUACUGGAGAAGGGGGGAAGGCAUGAUAAAGCCAUGCGGGGUGAGUGAUGAAGGCCUUAGGGUUGUAAAGCUCUCUUAGACGGGGUGAGAAUGACAGUACCGGGAGAAUAAGCUCCGGCUAACUCCGUG